Molecule: transfer RNA, 74 nt
Filed under: Cricetulus griseus (Chinese hamster)
Lineage: Eukaryota; Metazoa; Chordata; Mammalia; Rodentia; Cricetidae
Rfam family: tRNA
About the family: Transfer RNA (tRNA) molecules are approximately 80 nucleotides in length. Their secondary structure includes four short double-helical elements and three loops (D, anti-codon, and T loops). Further hydrogen bonds mediate the characteristic L-shaped molecular structure. tRNAs have two regions of fundamental functional importance: the anti-codon, which is responsible for specific mRNA codon recognition, and the 3' end, to which the tRNAs corresponding amino acid is attached (by aminoacyl-tRNA synthetases). tRNAs cope with the degeneracy of the genetic code in two manners: having more than one tRNA (with a specific anti-codon) for a particular amino acid; and 'wobble' base-pairing, i.e. permitting non-standard base-pairing at the 3rd anti-codon position.
Source: Rfam by way of RNAcentral
GGAGAAAUGGCUCAGCGGUUAAAAGCAUUGGCUGCUCUUCCAGAGGAUCCUGGGUUCAAUUCCCAGUAUCUACA